This is a long non-coding RNA of Chiloscyllium plagiosum (whitespotted bambooshark), 1170 nucleotides long. RefSeq lists it as uncharacterized. The record is from RefSeq and is a predicted model, not a curated record. Lineage: Eukaryota; Metazoa; Chordata; Chondrichthyes; Orectolobiformes; Hemiscylliidae.
CCGCAUUAUUACAAAUGCUAAUAGCUGGAAGCUUGGAUAAUGUGAUGUGAGGCACCCCACUGCUAAUCUAAUCAGAAAACGUAACAGGAUCUGUGCCAGUGAAUCAUUUCUGAAAGAAAUCUGGUACAUGCUGCGUGGAACAUAUCGACGAAGCACACAAACGCAUCUUAAAAAAAACACAACUGGAGACGGUGUAAGACGACAUCUCUGCCAAUCCAUUCCAUCCCGAUGACGCUCUUGGUCGACCACGUGACAGGAUUACGUUGAAAUAUCUUUUAUUGCAACUGAAGGCUGACAGACAGUUCAACACACCCACCAACUGACUGGGCCGCUGCAUUGAUCGGUACCACGACAGGAGAGUCGGGCGAGGUGCAUCCUGCUUUUUACCUGUAUUCUGGGCGCUGGUUAAAUCAAUUUUGUGAUUGGGUGAAGGAAACAGUGCUUGUAUCAAGUCCCAUUAACACUCCAUUUCUCUGGGAAAUUAUUGUAACAACCAGCAUUGCAUUUCUGAUUGGGGAUGGGGAAAGCGAGGAUGACAUGUCGACCUGGAAGUCAUCUCCCAAACCGCACCCCCCCCCCCAAAUGUUAGUUGCAAUAAAGUAUGACCCAGAAGUUAGAAUAAACAGCUGGUGACGGAGACCAGAAAUAAACAAAUCCAAUCUUAUUUGUUGAUAAAUCCCGCCGAAUGGAAGUAAUUGACAAGCAUUGCACGUUUAUUUUAAAGGCACUCGUUUAUCUGAUGAAGUUACUAAACAGAAAAACUCUCCUGGGAUUACAGACACAGAGUCUUAGCGGAUGCAAAUUACAUUACACGUGACCCUCCCUUAAUCAUGGUUCUCCCCACCGUCACACUCUGUCUCCACCUUUCAAAAAAAAAGGACCUCACUAAUUAUUCGCUACUCGGUCUUUGGCCAGCAGUGGGACACUCAAAGGUUGGAGGUCACAGCGCUUCACCGGAGUGUUCCUGUCGGAGUCAAAACAUUACUUAACUCUCGCGGUGGAUCAGAUUUAUUGCCUAUGCUAUCCCGCAACUACAAACAACAAGGAGCCAGCUUGCUUUUCCUGAUCAUUAGGUCUUAGAUUAUCACAGCGAAAAAAAACUCACGUCUACUAAAUAGCUUGAAAACAAAUUGUACAGGUAAACUGAAUACGGCUGCAUCUUUAAAACUA